UCCGGUUUGUCACCGGCAGUCUCCCUAGAGUUCCCGACCGAAUCGCUGGCAAAUAGGGACAAGGGUUGCGCUCGUUACGGGACUUAACCCAACAUUUCACAACACGAGCUGACGACAGCCAUGCAGCACCUGUCUGAGAGUUCCCGAAGGCACCAAUCCAUCUCUGGAAAGUUCUCUCGAUGUCAAGGGUAGGUAAGGUUCUUCGCGUUGCAUCGAAUUAAACCACAUGCUCCACCGCUUGUGCGGGCCCCCGUCAAUUCAUUUGAGUUUUAACCUUGCGGCCGUACUCCCCAGGCGGUCGACUUAUCGCGUUAACUGCGCCACAAAGCUCUCAAGGAGCCCAACGGCUAGUCGACAUCGUUUACGGCGUGGACUAC
This 377-nucleotide unclassified non-coding RNA is filed under the name uncultured Halomonadaceae bacterium. RNAcentral describes it as "contains 16S-23S intergenic spacer region". The record is from RNAcentral. Lineage: Bacteria; Pseudomonadati; Pseudomonadota; Gammaproteobacteria; Oceanospirillales; Halomonadaceae.